UAAUCAAAGGCUUCAAGUAUGGUCAAAACUCAAAAUGAAGAACUUCUUAAUGCUUUUUCCUUUUUAAUACAAUUACUGCGCGUGGAAUCAUAUUGAAUCAGUGAAUUUUGAAUACUAAAUGUCUAAAAAGGAAAAGCAAACAGAGAUUCUUCAUGUGCAUGCUAAAAUUAGAAUGAGAAGAAGAUAGAGAUUCCACUAAACUUCUGCAUAUAAUUUGAUUUCUUAUGAAAGUUGGGAUUAAUUUUGUCAUUACAAGAUACUAAACAGAUUACUAGAAAGGAUAGUUUCGGGAUUUGGGGGAAUCAGCAAUUUUAAGAGUCUGUUCAAUAAGCUUACGAGCCUUCUUGCUCCUAAUCUCCACUCUCAUGCUUUCACUCUUCUCAAUCUUGUCGUAUGAUUCCUUCAUUUUAAAGGACCUCCUCAGUUUCGUCUUCAAAUUCACCAUCAAUCUCUCAAAUCCCAUCAUUUUCUUCUUGAUUAAUUAAAACCACC
Long non-coding RNA from Solanum verrucosum, 492 nucleotides. RefSeq lists it as uncharacterized. The record is from RefSeq and is a predicted model, not a curated record. The transcript has 2 exons. Lineage: Eukaryota; Viridiplantae; Streptophyta; Magnoliopsida; Solanales; Solanaceae.